AUUGAACGCUGGCGGCAGGCCUAACACAUGCAAGUCGAACGAGUGGCGGACGGGUGAGUAAUGUCUGGGAAACUGCCUGAUGGAGGGGGAUAACUACUGGAAACGGUAGCUAAUACCGCAUACCAUCGGAUGUGCCCAGAUGGGAUUAGCUAGUAGGUGGGGUAAAGGCUCACCUAGGCGACGAUCCCUAGCUGGUCUGAGAGGAUGACCAGCCCAACGGGAACGGAGACACGGUCCAGACUCCUACGGGAGGCACAAGUGGGGAAUAUUGCACAAUGGGCGAAAGCCUGAUGCAGCCAUGCCGCGUGUAUGAAGAAGGCCUUCGGGUGGUAAAGUACUUUCAGCGGGGAGGCGGUACCUGCAGAAGAAGCACCGGCUAACUCCGUGCCAGCCGCCGCGGUAAUUC
RNAcentral lists this ribosomal RNA (406 nucleotides) under uncultured bacterium. Its description in RNAcentral is "partial 16S ribosomal RNA". It matches the Rfam family "Bacterial small subunit ribosomal RNA", at positions 30 to 526 of the family's 1533-position model. The record is from RNAcentral.